UACGGGGGGAGCAAGCGUUGUUCGGAUUUACUGGGCGUAAAGGGCGCGUAGGCGGCCACCGCAAGUCAGUUGUGAAAUCUCUGGGCUUAACCCAGAAAGGUCAACUGAUACUGCGGGGCUAGAGUGCAGAAGGGGCAACUGGAAUUCUCGGUGUAGCGGUGAAAUGCGUAGAUAUCGGGAAGAACACCAACGGCGAAAGCACUCUGCUGGGCCGAAAAACUGACACUGAUAGACGAAAGCUAGGGGAGCAAAUGGG
This 256-nucleotide ribosomal RNA is filed under the name uncultured bacterium. RNAcentral describes it as "partial 16S ribosomal RNA". It matches the Rfam family "Bacterial small subunit ribosomal RNA", at positions 524 to 776 of the family's 1533-position model. The record is from RNAcentral.